GCUUGUGAUCACAAUGAUUUUGAAAAGCUAAUUAGAAGAAUCUUCUUUCUUCCCCUAGACCUGAUUUAAAUAGCACACUGGCUCUUAUUCCACAUCCUUCUGCUUCUACGGUAUGUAUACUAUACACCUUGGUACAUGACAUAAACACUUAAGAAGAAAAACAAUUCUCAACAUCAGAGUUGACUUAUACAAUGUCCUGACUUUACUGCUUUGCUCCCAUCCCUGAAGCUGGCAAUAGCCCCCACACCCUUCCCACGCCUGAGGCCUCCUGGUUAUAAGAAGCACUGAGAAGGCAGCAUGGGGAAGGUGAUUGUUAGCCAUUCUCCACCAGUGGCUGCAGGAAUUCAACAAGGAAGACCUCAAGUUGACCUAAUUACUUAUAUUUUCUUCAUGUCUUGGAAUAUUACUCCAUAGAUCUUAAAUGUAAAAGUACACAUAGCAAUUAUCCCAAACAUAACUCCAAUUGCACAAAUAUUCCUAAAACUCCUGGAAUACAUAACCAUCGGGUCCCUCUUAAGCAGAAUUCAUACAGGACCACUGCAGGGCUCAACAAUGGCCAAGAAAACAGAAUGGGACAGAAUCAUAAUAUAACAUCUGGGUGUAGCUUUCUGCCUCUAGAAUUAAACUGUGCCUGCCCUUCAAACACCCAUACUUGAGAAGUUUAAGAAAUAGCCUUAAUUUUCACAUAUCAGGAGAGGGAUAUCUUUACGUUUAUUACUAAAUUUCUGGCCAUAUUUCAUGUAAUAUAUUAAUUAACUUAAUGACAGA
This 768-nucleotide long non-coding RNA is filed under the name Homo sapiens (human). RNAcentral describes it as "long non-coding RNA NONHSAT153905". The record is from RNAcentral. Lineage: Eukaryota; Metazoa; Chordata; Mammalia; Primates; Hominidae.